Molecule: ribosomal RNA, 301 nt
Filed under: uncultured bacterium
Lineage: Bacteria
Description: partial 16S ribosomal RNA
Rfam family: Bacterial small subunit ribosomal RNA
Source: RNAcentral
CAGUCGCCGCGGUAAUACGUAGGUGGCAAGCGUUGUCCGGAAUUAUUGGGCGUAAAGGGCUCGCAGGCGGUUUCUUAAGUCUGAUGUGAAAGCCCCCGGCUCAACCGGGGAGGGUCAUUGGAAACUGGGAAACUUGAGUGCAGAAGAGGAGAGUGGAAUUCCACGUGUAGCGGUGAAAUGCGUAGAGACGUGGAGGAACACCAGUGGCGAAGGCGACUCUCUGGUCUGUAACUGACGCUGAGGAGCGAAAGCGUGGGGAGCGAACAGGAUUAGAUACCCCCGUAGUCCCUGUCUCUUAUAA